Molecule: non-coding RNA, 282 nt
Filed under: Dialister succinatiphilus
Lineage: Bacteria; Bacillati; Bacillota; Negativicutes; Veillonellales; Veillonellaceae
Description: T-box sequence
Rfam family: T-box leader
About the family: Uncharged tRNA acts as the effector for transcription antitermination of genes in the T-box leader family.
Source: RNAcentral
AAAACAGCGAUGAUUGGGAAAAAGUCUGAUGAAGGCCAUGGCAGAGAGCCGGCGGAUGGUGCAAGCCGGUAUGGAGCAUAAGGCGAACUCUCCCAUGAGCACCGGAGCGAAGAAAGUAGUGAAGGCGGCAGUCCCCGUUACGGACAGAAAAGAAAGUACAAUGCAGGGUGGUACCGCAGCUAUGCCCCUGUCCCAAAACGGGACAGGGGCUUUUUGUAUCAUCAUCCGUACUUUCUAUGAAGAGAUAAAUCAGGGUGGUACCGCGGUUUCCCCGCCCCUGGU